Molecule: ribosomal RNA, 438 nt
Filed under: uncultured bacterium
Lineage: Bacteria
Description: partial 16S ribosomal RNA
Rfam family: Bacterial small subunit ribosomal RNA
Source: RNAcentral
CUACGGGUGGCAGCAGUGAGGAAUAUUGCACAAUGGGGGGAACCCUGAUGCAGCAACGCCGCGUGGAGGAUGACGCAUUUCGGUGUGUAAACUCCUUUUAUAUGUCAAGAAAAUGACGGUAGCAUAUGAAUAAGCACCGGCUAACUCCGUGCCAGCAGCCGCGGUAAUACGGAGGGUGCAAGCGUUACUCGGAAUCACUGGCGGAAAGGACGCGUAGGCGGGUUGGAAAGUCAGGUGUGAAAUCCUACAGCUUAACUGUAGAACUGCACUUGAAACUUCUAAUCUAGAGUAUGGGAGGGGGAGAUGGAAUUAGUGGUGUAGGGGUAAAAUCCGUAGAUAUCACUAGGAAUACCUAAAGCGAAGGCGAUCUCCUGGAACAUUACUGACGCUAAGGCGUGAAAGCGUGGGGAGCAAACAGGAUUAGAUACCCCUGUAGUC